CAGUCGCCGCGGGAACACGAAGGGUGCAAGCGUUAAUCGGAAUUACUGGGCGUAAAGCGUGCGUAGGCGGUGAGUUAAGUCUGCUGUGAAAUCCCCGGGCUCAACCUGGGAAUGGCAGUGGAUACUGGCUCGCUAGAGUGUGUCAGAGGAUGGUGGAAUUCCCGGUGUAGCGGUGAAAUGCGUAGAGAUCGGGAGGAACAUCAGUGGCGAAGGCGGCCAUCUGGGACAACACUGACGCUGAGGCACGAAAGCGUGGGGAGCAAACAGGAUUAGAUACCCCGGUAGUCCCUGUCUCUUAUAC
RNAcentral lists this ribosomal RNA (301 nucleotides) under uncultured bacterium. RNAcentral's name for it is "partial 16S ribosomal RNA". It matches the Rfam family "Bacterial small subunit ribosomal RNA", at positions 509 to 807 of the family's 1533-position model. The record is from RNAcentral.